GGCUUUUUUCGCAGCGGAACUCGACCGCCCCACGACGAGAUGAUCCGCUUCAUCGACGAGCACAGGGAUCAUUUCGGGGUCGAGGCCAUCUGCCGCACUCUG
Molecule: non-coding RNA, 102 nt
Filed under: Citricoccus sp. K5
Lineage: Bacteria; Bacillati; Actinomycetota; Actinomycetes; Micrococcales; Micrococcaceae
Description: ALIL
Rfam family: ALIL pseudoknot
Source: RNAcentral